UCAAUAGUCCCUCCGUCCGGAAUUACUUGUCGCAUAAAUGUAUAAAAAUGGAUGUAUCUAGAACUAAAAUACAUCUAGAUACAUCCAUUCAUAUGACAAGUAUUUCCGGAUGGAGGGAGUAUUAC
Molecule: non-coding RNA, 125 nt
Organism: Hordeum vulgare subsp. vulgare (domesticated barley)
Lineage: Eukaryota; Viridiplantae; Streptophyta; Magnoliopsida; Poales; Poaceae
Source: Rfam